CCGGCGAAGGCCGCACGAGGCGGUGGGAAUCCGGCGGGCCCCGAGGCGGGUUGGGGGGACCCGUCUGGCCCGGGAACCAGCACCGUCAGCCUUCGCAGGUCCGGGCCAGACUCUUACAGAGUCUAGAUCGCAGGAGCAUUAGGAGUUCCGGAAGAGGGUUUAGGACUUCUGCCUGCGUCUCAGGUGUGAGCCCUGGCUCCGGCCUUACUCGUGUUUCCCCGCGAGGACGGCUUUUCUCAGUCAUUCUUGAAGGUGGUGGGGUUUGGGCCAUAUUAUUUUAUUUUUGAGGGUCCACUCUGUGUAAGCAUGGGUUUGCCUGCGCGGGGCGCCGUGCAGAGCGCCAUGAAGGAGACGCUGGGAGAAGGAGUGUUUAGAGAUGCUUGCGGUAUGGUCCUUACCUACGUGAAGCGUAGGAGGUGAACCCAAGCUUUUUUGGAAGCGAGCACACCCCCGGGUAAGACGAGGGAGUGAAAUGCCGCGAUGCGAUGAUGAGUGAAGCGCAGUCUGACCUGGUAUUGCCGCUCCUCGUUGCCGGCUCUGACCGGGGCGUGAUCGCUUAAUCUUCUCUCUGAGCUGAUUCUUGUUGUGGGUUUCCCACAUUGCUAGGUUCUAGCCUAUUUGGGUGGAGCUGAAAACUCUGGCUUUGACACCUUCAUGGAUACUAUGUUACUUCAAUCCUAAAUCUGGUUCAGUCCCCUUACUGACUUAUUAAAAAUGUUUUUUU
Molecule: long non-coding RNA, 724 nt
Organism: Pteronotus mesoamericanus
Lineage: Eukaryota; Metazoa; Chordata; Mammalia; Chiroptera; Mormoopidae
Exons: 3
Source: RefSeq, a predicted model, not a curated record